This 1221-nucleotide long non-coding RNA is filed under the name Felis catus (domestic cat). RNAcentral describes it as "lncRNA (ENSFCAG00000052517.1)". Lineage: Eukaryota; Metazoa; Chordata; Mammalia; Carnivora; Felidae. The record is from RNAcentral.
UCCUCUCCUGGGAUUGAGAAGGUGGCAGUCCUCCCCUGGGGUCUGAGAAGGUGGGAGUCCUCCCCUGGGAUUGAGAAGGGGGAGUCCUCCCCGGGGGUCUGAGAAGGUGGUGUCCUCCCCUGGGAUUGAGAAGGUGGGGCCCUCCCCUGUGGUCUGAGAAGGUGGGGUCCUCCCCUGGGAUUGAGAAGGUGGGAGUCCUCCCCUGGGAUUGAAGAAGGUGGGGUCCUCCCCUGGGGUCUGAGAAGGUGGGAGUCUCCUCUGGGAUUGAGAAGGUGGAGUCCUCCCCUGGGGUCUGAGAAGGUGGGGUCCUCCCCUGGGAUUGAGAAGGUGGGGGUCCUCCCCUGGGAUUGAGAAGGUGGGAGUCCUCCCCUGGGAUUGAGAAGGUGGGGUCCUCCCCUGGGAUUGAGAAGGUGGCGUCCUCCCCUGGGAUUGAGAAGGUGGGAGUCCUCCCCUGGGAUUGAGAAGGUGGGAGUCCUCCCCUGGGAUUGAGAAGGUGGAGUCUGGAGUCUGAGAAGGUGGGAGUCCUCCUCUGGGAUUGAGAAGGUGGGGUCCUCCCCUGGGAUCUGAGAAGGUGGGGGUCCUCCCCUGGGAUUGAGAAGGUGGGAGUCUUCCCCUGGGAUUGAGAAGGUGGGAGUCCUCCCUUGGAAUUGAGAAGGUGGGGUCCUCCCCGGGGUCUGAGAAGGUGGCAUCCUCCCCUGGGAUUGAGAAGGUGGGGUCCUCCCCGGGGGUCUGAGAAGGUGGCAUCCUCCCCUGGGAUUGAGAAGGUGGGAGUCCUCCCCUUGGACUGAGAAGGUGGAGUCCUCCCCUGGGGUCUGAGAAGGUGGGGUCCUCCCCUGGGAUUGAGAAGUUGCAGGGUCUCAGGUGGCACCUGAAGAGCGGUGACAUCCGACCACCAGGCACUGGGUGAGGCUCCGAGUGCGUGGUGGGAAGGAGCCUACAGAAGGUGGCAGUGAACGCUCCAUCAGGCUGGGGUGACCAGCGUCACCCCACCGCCCCCUCCAGAGUCUGGGACCGAGUCCCACGCUCAUCCCCACCAUCGGAUCCCCAGUCAGCCCUCGCUGCCAGCUGGGCUUUCUCGCCGUGGUCAUGGGGCCGCUCACAGUGGACCAUGAAGAAACGGUACAGCUGCGGGGACAGCCCCCAGGGGGAAGCGGCCUCCCGGGCCCACCACCGACUUGCUCAGUGCCUCACUGCGCCCCCCCUGCUGUCCGGGCCCUGAAA